This 492-nucleotide ribosomal RNA is filed under the name uncultured bacterium. RNAcentral describes it as "partial 16S ribosomal RNA". It matches the Rfam family "Bacterial small subunit ribosomal RNA", at positions 29 to 507 of the family's 1533-position model. The record is from RNAcentral.
AGUGAACGCUGGCGGUAGGCCUAACACAUGCAAGUCGGACGGCAGCACAGUAAUAGCUUGCUGUUACGGGGGGCGAGUCGCGGACGGGUGCGGUAUACAGGGGAAUCUACUUUGGCGUGGGGGAUAACGUAGGGGAACUUACGCUAAUACCACAUACGACCUACGGGUGAAAGCAGUGGAGCUUCGGACCUUGCGCGAUUGAAUGAGCCGGUGUCGGAUUGGCGAGUUGGCGGGGUAAAGGCACUCCAAGGAGACGCUCCGUAGCUGGUCUGAGAGGAUGAUCAGGCAGACUGGCACUGAGACACGGUCCAGACUCCUACGGUAGGCAGCAGUGGGGAAUAUUGGACAAUGGGGGCAAGCCUGAUCCAGCCAUACCGCGUGGGUGAAGAAGGACUUCGGGUUGUAAAGCGCUUUUGUUCGGAAAGAAGAGAAGCAGGUUAAUCCCCCGAUGUUCUGACGCUACCCAAAGAAUAAGAACCGGCUCACUUCGUG